GAUCCGUAAAUUCUGAGAGUUCCUAAACUUUGUCUAGUUUACUCAUAAUUAUUAUCGUGAUUUUUGGAAGCUUUUAACUUGUAUUAAAAUGCUCAUAUUCAUAGACUGGUCCGGAUUUGUGUUUGAAAACACAGGCUGUUUUGUAAAAAUCACCAUAAAUUGUAGAAAAAUCGUGUGGAGAUGUGCAAGUAGUCAUUUUAAAGCUAAGAAGUGGAACUACUUGCACCUAAAACAGUUUUGAAAACUAAAAUGUUUAAGNCUAAGAAGUGGAACUACAUGCACCUAAAACAGUUUUGAAAACUAAAAUGUUUAAGUUGUCCAAAACAGUCCGUGAAUGGAGUUGAACUUUUCUGAUGAAGGCUGUUAGAAAAGUUUAGUUAUAUUAUUGGUGUUUUAACUUGUAUUCCCCCCCUAAAAACUUGAGAAAACAUGAAAAUGUAGGGGGUAUGAACUCACCUUGAGUGAUUUUAGAAGAUAAGUGUUGAAGAAGAGGAGUGUUCAACCCAAGAACACUUGAAGAAUCACUUGAAGAUUCGAAGAUCUAACAUAAUUAUGAUGAAGUUUGUGUAAGAUAUCCAUGAUUUGAGUAGAAAGAAGUGAAAUAAUCAUGAGGAGAAGGGAUUAUGCUUACCAAAUGUGGAGGAAAAACACAAGAUCAGCCCUUGAAUCACGAAUUCUAGAGAGAGGAAGUGAGAGAGAAAAGAGUUUGAUCUUCUUGGUGAAAGGAGAGAAAAUGAGAGAAGUGAGGAGAGAGGAGG
This 758-nucleotide long non-coding RNA is filed under the name Lactuca sativa (garden lettuce). RNAcentral describes it as "long non-coding RNA (LSAT_LNC003803)". Lineage: Eukaryota; Viridiplantae; Streptophyta; Magnoliopsida; Asterales; Asteraceae. The record is from RNAcentral.